Molecule: ribosomal RNA, 775 nt
Filed under: Torellia insignis
Lineage: Eukaryota; Metazoa; Mollusca; Gastropoda; Littorinimorpha; Capulidae
Description: partial 16S ribosomal RNA
Rfam family: Bacterial large subunit ribosomal RNA (bases 1-582)
Source: RNAcentral
AUGGCUCUUUGAUUUAGUCUAAUAAAGAGUCGGACCUGCCCAGUGAGGUACAACUUUAACGGCCGCGGUACCCUAACCGUGCAAAGGUAGCAUAAUCAUUUGCCCCGUAAUUGGGGGCUAGUAUGAAUGGUUUGACAAGAGCAUCUCUGUCUCUAUAAAAUUCUAUAAAAUUUAAUUUUCAGCUGAAGAAGCCUGAAUUUAAUUAAAAGACAAGAAGACCCUAUCGAGCUUUAAACAAAUUAAGGGAUUAUAAAUAUAUUUAUAUAGUUAUAACCUUUAAAAAUUUUGGUUGGGGCGACUAAGGAACAAACAAAGCUUCUUAUUAAUAAAAAGUAAGCAGACUAUGAUCCAAAAGUUUUGAUUAAAGGAAUUAGUUACCGUAGGGAUAACAGCAUAAUUUUUUUUAAGAGUUCUUAUCGAAAAAAAGGUUUGUGACCUCGAUGUUGGACCAGAAUAUCCUGAAGAUGUAGCCGUCUUCGAGGGUUGGUCUGUUCGACCAUUAAAAUUCUACGUGAUCUGAGUUCAGACCGGCGUAAGCCAGGUCAGUUUCUAUCUUUAAUUACUAAAUCCAAGUUUAGUACGAAAGGACCAACUUUAUUGUAUAUAAUAUUUUUUAUGGUUAAAUAUAAUUACCUAAUUAAAGUAUUCAAUUAAGUUAGCAAAAUAAUGCGGCUGGCUUAGGCUCAGCAGAUAAAGGCGGAAACCCUUUACUUAAUACUAUAAAGUAAAGUAAAAUUUACUUGAGAUAUACAAUAAAGAUGGCAGAUGAAGUGCA